AUCCUUACACAAUAUUUUCGAUAUGUUCUUAUACUGAAAAUAUUUAUGACUAUUGAAGGUACAACCCAAGGUGGUUAUCGGUGGUCGUUGGAGGUGGUCGGAGGUGGACGAGGAGGAGGACGAGGAAGACUAGGAGAAGAAGGUGGCUGAGGAUUUGUGCUCGGUAUAACCCGAGGUGGUUGGCGGUGGUUGGCGGUGGUCGAGCUGGACGGGGUGGAGGACAAGGAUUCGUGCUUGUUCUGUGCCCCACCUAGUGAUCCACUAGUACAU
RNAcentral lists this long non-coding RNA (270 nucleotides) under Neodiprion lecontei (redheaded pine sawfly). RNAcentral describes it as "uncharacterized LOC124295406". Lineage: Eukaryota; Metazoa; Arthropoda; Insecta; Hymenoptera; Diprionidae. The record is from RNAcentral.